RNAcentral lists this transfer RNA (91 nucleotides) under Puccinia graminis f. sp. tritici. It matches the Rfam family "tRNA". Rfam says of the family: Transfer RNA (tRNA) molecules are approximately 80 nucleotides in length. Their secondary structure includes four short double-helical elements and three loops (D, anti-codon, and T loops). Lineage: Eukaryota; Fungi; Basidiomycota; Pucciniomycetes; Pucciniales; Pucciniaceae. The record is from Rfam by way of RNAcentral. RNAcentral also lists the same sequence under 1 other name.
CCCCCGAUAGCUCAGCUGGAAGAGCGCGAGACUGUAAUGGAUAUCAAUCAAGUUCAUCUUGAGGUCGCUGGUUCGAUCCCGGCUCGGGGGA